Non-coding RNA from Callorhinus ursinus (northern fur seal), 148 nucleotides. The record is from RefSeq and is a predicted model, not a curated record. Lineage: Eukaryota; Metazoa; Chordata; Mammalia; Carnivora; Otariidae.
GUAUUUAAACUUCAAGUUUUUAUUUAAAUUCCAGUUAGUUAACUUAUAGUGUAAUAUUAGUUUCAGGAGUAGAAUUUAGUGAUUCAUCACUUACAUAUAACACUCAGUGCUCAUCCCAACAAAUUCUCUCCUUAAUGCCCAUCACCCA